RNAcentral lists this ribosomal RNA (425 nucleotides) under uncultured bacterium. RNAcentral's name for it is "partial 16S ribosomal RNA". It matches the Rfam family "Bacterial small subunit ribosomal RNA", at positions 354 to 796 of the family's 1533-position model. The record is from RNAcentral.
GUGGGGAAUCUUGCGCAAUGGGCGAAAGCCUGACGCAGCCAUGCCGCGUGAAUGAUGAAGGUCUUAGGAUUGUAAAAUUCUUUCACCGGGGACGAUAAUGACGGUACCCGGAGAAGAAGCCCCGGCUAACUUCUAGCCAGCAGCCGCGGUAAUACGAAGGGGGCUAGCGUUGCUCGGAAUUACUGGGCGUAAAGGGCGCGUAGGCGGACAGUUUAGUCAGAGGUGAAAGGCCAGGGCUCAACCUUGGAAUUGCCUUUGAUACUGGCUGUCUUGAGUACGGGAGAGGUGAGUGGAACUCCGAGUGUAGAGGUGAAAUUCGUAGAUAUUCGGAAGAACACCAGUGGCGAAGGCGACUCACUGGCCCGUUACUGACGCUGAGGCGCGAAAGCGUGGGGAGCAAACAGGAUUAGAUACCCUAGUAGUCC